UAUAGUCUGUAUAGUUUAUCUCCCCACGAAUACACUCAAAGUAGUCUUAAAAUAAAACCCACAAAACAGUUCAAGAUUUAAUACUUUUUAUUUGCUCAUUUAAUGCCAGUUGCCCUGUUUUUCUGUAUGUCACUCAUUCGCUUAUACUUGGGCAAAAAGUACCAAUUUGUACACUAGUAUAGUGUAUUUUUUCCCUCUAUCUCUCUAUGUCUGUCACACACAGAGACCAACACACAGACAUGUAUAUGCUCAUUAUUGCUGUUCAAACUGAUGGUCAAAUUUCCAAGCACCACCUGAACGCCUCAUCUGUUUUUAACCUAUCACUGGACCAACUGUCGUCAUUCCGCUUCGCUCUCUGCUGUGGUAAGUACAGUACACUCAGUACUGCAGUGUUUUAUUUUUAUGAUGGAAAAAAUACAUGUUUGACAUUUAAACUCACAUAUCAAGUCCAACAGAGUUAAAAAGAAUUCAAAGAAGAAAGAAAAAAGAAUAACCUUCGCUAUCAUUUAUAUACGUUUAUGAUGUUUUGCUGUUAGCAGCAGUGCUAACGCUAGCUUCGAUGCUAAUGCUAGCAACAAUGCUAAUGCUAGCAACAAUGCUAACGCUAGCUAUAGUGCUAACACUAGCCUUAGCACUUGUUAACUGACAAAAAUAAUAUUCCUGUGAUAUUUCUUGCCGGUCAGUGAGACAAAAGUAAGAAAUGAGCUUUAUUAUUGCCAUUGUGGCUCAGUUUUAACAGUAAGAGUGCUAGCGCUAGUAGCAUUGCUAACGCUAGCUGCAAUGCUAACGCUAGCUGCAUUGCUAACACUAACUGAAGUGCUAAUGCUAGCCGGAAUGCUAGCGCUAGCAGCAAUGCUAAGGCUAGUAACAGUCUAACAGUAGCCUUACAUAAGUGGCAAUACUUCAGUUAAUUAGUUUGAAUUGUAAAAUGGCUGCUGUAUCAGUUGGUGUGCUAUAUUACUCUAUAAUUACCCUGCUGACUAGAAGUUCAGUGUAUCAUGUCGUGUGGGCUUUGUAUUUCUGUUAGUCUGAUAACACUGUACAGACAACUAACGUAUUAUUUCUCGUGUUACACUUUCAGGAACCUGACUGACACUGUGCUUUGCCUGUGUGCAGAAGAAGAACAAGGACCAGAUCUCCAGUCUUCUCUCUCACAUCCCAACCCCCCACCCCCUCUAUCCUCUGUCCUGCUCCACCUGUUGUCUCUGCCUUCUUUCCAUCUGUAUUUCACUCUGUGGUUUGUGAGAAAUUUUGCCAAACCAAGAAUCUUAUUGCGGUUUGAUUUAAAGCCGUGUCUCUCCUGCUCUGUCUGUUCUCUCUGCUAAAUUUUCUCUCUACCUGUUUUUCACUCUUGGCUUGCUGCUGAAAAACGCCAAGCCAACAAAGCAAUAAAGAGUGCAUAUUUUGCCUCAACCUAUGAACAAACUGAACAAACAAAGAAAAAUCUGCGGUUUGAUUUAAAGCCGUGUCUCUCCUGCUCUGCCUGUUCUCACUGCUAAAUUUUCUCUCUACCUGUUUUUCACUCUUGGCUUGCUGCUGAAAAACGCCAAGCCAUUAAAGCAAUAAAGAGUGCAUAUAUUGCCUCUACCUGAGAACAAACUGAACAAACAAAGAAAACUAAUUCACGGUUUGAUUGUGAUUUCCCAGCCGUGUCUCUCCUGCUCUGCCUGUUCUCUCUUCUAAAUUUUCUCUCUACCUGUUUUUCACUCUUGGCUUGCUGCUGAAAAAUGCCAAGCCAAUAAAGAGAGUGCAUAAUAUUCUCUCAACUGAAGAACAAACUGUCAAACGAAAGACAACUGUUUAAGACAAAUAAAAACUGAAAUAUAAAAACAAA
Molecule: long non-coding RNA, 1834 nt
Organism: Maylandia zebra (zebra mbuna)
Lineage: Eukaryota; Metazoa; Chordata; Actinopteri; Cichliformes; Cichlidae
Source: RefSeq, a predicted model, not a curated record